GUUAAGGCUAAGCUGGAUAGUGUUCACAAGCUUCUCAAGAAGUAGGUUAGCUUUGCAGAGGAUAUAGAGGCUGUAGAUGUCGAAAGUGACAGAGAGUUCAAGGAAGAUGUGAACUUCAUCAGUGGUACUUGUAGUAAUCCUCCCGAAGGGGUAAAAUGGUCGAGAUCGACAAAGUCGGAAUUUGGAGCCGAGCUUUUGGGAAUCAAAGUAUAAUGAGUAGUGUUGAGUCUUGAUCAUAUAAACCUUGACAAGAUUUAAAGAAAAUAGAAGAUUGGUCGAGCAUCAACUUGGUGGUCGAAUCGCAGGCGAUAAAGAUCGAUCGAGAAGUUGUGAAGUACGAGGUGGUUGAAUAAUUGAUCGUGAGUGAACCAUGAGUCGAAUAUACAACUCGACCAUGGUUAGACAAUGUGAUAGAGAUUUAUCAGAAGGAAUUUUUGGGAGGAUAACAUUUUUGGAGCACGACGUUUUAGACGCUCGACUUUUAGGAGAACGACGUUUCCGAAGCACCA
RNAcentral lists this long non-coding RNA (509 nucleotides) under Brassica napus (rape). RNAcentral's name for it is "long non-coding RNA (BNAP_LNC014011)". Lineage: Eukaryota; Viridiplantae; Streptophyta; Magnoliopsida; Brassicales; Brassicaceae. The record is from RNAcentral.